CCCUUAGAUGUUCUGGGCCGCACGCGCGCUACACUGACGAAGUCAGCGAGCAUGUCCUACGCCGACAGGUGCGGGGAAUCUUGUCAAACUUCGUCGUGAUGGGGAUUGAUUAUUGAAAUUCUUGAUCAUCAACGAGGAAUUCCUAGUAAGCGCAUGUCAGCAGCUUGCGUUGAUUACGUCCCUGCCCUUUGUACACACCGCCCGUCGCUACUACCGAUUGAAUGGUUUAGUGAGAUCUUCGGAUUGGCGCCACUGCGGCUCAGCAAUGGGCUCGGUGGAUGCCGAAAAGUUGAUCAAACUUGAUCAUUUAGAGGAAGUAAAAGUCGUAACA
This 331-nucleotide ribosomal RNA is filed under the name uncultured eukaryote. RNAcentral's name for it is "partial 18S ribosomal RNA". It matches the Rfam family "Eukaryotic small subunit ribosomal RNA", at positions 1470 to 1796 of the family's 1831-position model. The record is from RNAcentral.